UAGUUGAGCACUCUAGCGAGACUGCCCGGGUUAACCGGGAGGAAGGUGGGGAUGACGUCAAAUCAUCAUGCCCCUUAUGUCUAGGGCUACACACGUGCUACAAUGGCUGGUACAGAGAGAUGCUAAACCGUGAGGUGGAGCCAAACUUUAAAACCAGUCUCAGUUCGGAUUGUAGGCUGAAACUCGCCUACAUGAAGCUGGAGUUGCUAGUAAUCGCGAAUCAGAAUGUCGCGGUGAAUACGUUCCCGGGCCUUGUACACACCGCCCGUCACACCAUGAGAGUUGGCAAUACCCAAAGUUCGUGAGCUAACGCGNUAGGGUCAGCGAUUGGGGUGAAGUCGUAACAAGGUAGCCGUAGGAGAACCUGCGGCUGGAUCACCUCCUUUCUA
The sequence is a ribosomal RNA, 389 nucleotides long. It matches the Rfam family "Bacterial small subunit ribosomal RNA", at positions 1128 to 1533 of the family's 1533-position model.